AAAUUGAAGAGUUUGAUCAUGGCUCAGAUUGAACGCUGGCGGCAGGCCUAACACAUGCAAGUCGAACGGUAACAGGAAACAGCUUGCUGUUUCGCUGACGAGUGGCGGACGGGUGAGUAAUGUCUGGGAAACUGCCUGAUGGAGGGGGAUAACUACUGGAAACGGUAGCUAAUACCGCAUAACGUCGCAAGACCAAAGAGGGGGACCUUCGGGCCUCUUGCCAUCGGAUGUGCCCAGAUGGGAUUAGCUAGUAGGUGGGGUAAAGGCUCACCUAGGCGACGAUCCCUAGCUGGUCUGAGAGGAUGACCAGCCACACUGGAACUGAGACACGGUCCAGACUCCUACGGGAGGCAGCAGUGGGGAAUAUUGCACAAUGGGCGCAAGCCUGAUG
This 391-nucleotide ribosomal RNA is filed under the name Escherichia coli. Its description in RNAcentral is "bacterial SSU rRNA". It matches the Rfam family "Bacterial small subunit ribosomal RNA", at positions 1 to 388 of the family's 1533-position model. The record is from RNAcentral. Lineage: Bacteria; Pseudomonadati; Pseudomonadota; Gammaproteobacteria; Enterobacterales; Enterobacteriaceae.